Molecule: long non-coding RNA, 1195 nt
Organism: Gavialis gangeticus (Gharial)
Lineage: Eukaryota; Metazoa; Chordata; Crocodylia; Gavialidae
Exons: 2
Source: RefSeq, a predicted model, not a curated record
GAUGGCUUGCCAAAACUCAGUAAGCGGCCCUCUGCCCAAAAUAAUUGCCCGACCCUGUUCUAUAGUCUAGUGAUGAUCUUUUACACUAAGGUCCCUUUGCACAACAGCAGGAGUAGCAUUUGCACAUUCUUUAAGAAAAUGUCUAGAUUGACAAAGAUUUGUAAAGGGAUCUUAGUAUAAGCAGGAAUUUAGUUCCUUUUUUUUUUUUUUUGGUGCGCACACAGCUAUUUCUUUGGUGUUACAUGAGCAUGAGAUGAAUGAAGUUCCCUGAUGGAUAGAUAUUUUUACACCAGGAAAGUAACUGUUGAACUGUAUGUCCUACAGGACAAAUUCUGCUCCUAGCUACACCAAAGCAACUGCACACCAAGUAAUGAAGUAAGGUUUACAAGAGUGUAAACAACAACAGAAUUGGGCUCUUUGUAUGCAGUUAUCAGGAUUAUAACAUUUCUUAAGCUGUAUUAUGAAAUAAACUGAACCAUCCUAUGAUUUUUGAUCAGAUGAAUUAUUUAACAUUGGGGUGGUGAUUAAGGCACCAUUUCAAAUGUGCACUGCUAUUUGGUAAGAAAAGUACCGAAGUCACUCCCACAAUGUCUUCACAACAUUCCCAUUCUUACUGUACAAACUCAUAGUAGAACUGGAAUGUUGUAGUUGUGAUGGUCCAGGAAACAUGCAAGACACACAAGGGUGGGUGAAUGAUAUCUUUUAUCUGGUUUUGGUGGGUGAUAUAUUUUAUUGGACCAACAGUAUAGUUGGAAGAGAUGUGCACACAAAGGUUUUAUGCCCAAGGCUUGCUUAACAUCUCUCCCAAUUACACUACAGAUAUUUGCUACUCAUAUAAAGGCUCAUGCUAUUAGCAACUGCUCAAAGGUAUCCAUGUGUACUAUGAAGAAUUCUUCUCCACUCUAUUUAGAUCAUCACUGUCAAAAAUAUAAUUUUUGCCUUCAUUUUGAAUGAUCAUUUAAGGCAGGGGUUAAUGAAUUGUUAACCUAUCCAGGAAAAAUAUAUAGUUAGAUUAACAUAUCUAUGAGAAGAAAUGUUCAAAAAGAAACUAAAUCCCUACAAUCUAUGAAAAAUAAUAGCCACAAUAAGCUACUGCUGAAAGCAUAGUAGACCUUUCACACACAGGAAAAGAGUUCUCUAUCUCUUGAAAAAUAAAGAUCACGUCAACUUAGCACUUGGAUUGCACCUUUCAUCC